AUGACGCCGCCGCCGCCGCCCGCACCAUCGCUGCCGGACGAGGUUCUCGAGGAGAUCUUCCUCCGCCUCCCGCCGGACGAGCCUGCGUGCCUCGUGUGCUCCUCCCUCGCUAGCAAGCUUUGGCUCGGCCUCCUCUCCAGCCCUGCUUUCCUCGGUCGCUACCGCGAGUUCCAUGGAGCUCCUCCCAUGCUGGGCUUCCUUCAUAACUGGCUGGAGGGUUGCGGCCCGGUGGAGAAAUAUCCCAUCCCCCACUUCACCACCACCACGAAAUUCGCUGCGCGCAUUCCUCAUGUCGACGACUGGGUGCACCUGAACUACGUUGCGUGGGACUGCCGCCAUGGCCGUGUUCUCCUUGGGGAUGACAAUCCGGUACCCAUGGCGCUCGUCGUUUGGGACCCCAUGACGGGCUGCCGGAGGGAGAUGAACUUGCCGGACGUGGUGUACAACAAUUACGGGGCUGCGGUGCUCUGCGCUGCGACCAGCUGUGACCACCGUGCGUGUCACGCAGCCCCCUUCCAGUUGGUCUUUGUCGGCCUGAACUUGACUGAAGAAGGUGAAUGUGUUGCCCACGCGUGGCUGUCCUUGCCGGAGACGGGUGACUGGAGCAAGCCGUGCCCUGGAUUUGAUCAGUGGGGCGAGUCGUGCCUUGGUCUUCAUCUGGCAGCCGAUGCAUUCAUCGAGCCAAUGCCCCCUGUCCUUGUUAAAGAAGCACUUCACUUCAUGCUUCAGUAUGAUGAUGAUGAUAGUGUAGCAAUUCUCAAGUAUGACUUGAGCUCUAAUUCCUUAUCGCUCAUUGAUGCGCCAAUUAUGGGGUCUGAUGUUGCUGGUGCCACCAUACUCAUGGCGAUGUCAGAUGGCAGUUUAGGGUAUGCACUUGUGGAUGGGUUAAUGCUCUACCUAUGGUCAAGACAGAUGGAUUCCGGCAGAGUUGCGCCAUGGAGUCCAUGUACAAAUAUCAAUCUUGGGAAGCUUCUCCCCAUCCAAAAUCACAAGAAAAGACUUAGACUGGUUGGAUCCGUGGAAGCCAGUGAUAUCGUUUUCGUGACCACAGACCUGGGCAUCUACGAAAUUAAUGUCAAGUCGCGGCAGUGGAAGAGGCUAUGGAAGAACGAGAAAUUUUGUGCUUUGAUUCCGUUCAUGAGUUUUUACAAUCCACAUGAAAUGGUGAUUCUCAGUCAAACGGCACACUCACAAGGUAUGGUUAAAUAA
Molecule: ribosomal RNA, 1209 nt
Filed under: Triticum aestivum (bread wheat)
Lineage: Eukaryota; Viridiplantae; Streptophyta; Magnoliopsida; Poales; Poaceae
Description: partial small subunit ribosomal RNA
Source: RNAcentral